ACACACGCACACACUUGAUGCAUACAAUGGUCGUGAAACACAAGAAUGGUCGACACGCCGCUGCAUUAGUUCCACAUGGAGCCGUUAGCCGUUAGCCACCGGGUAACGCAGACGCGGCUCCUGUGGGGCGAAAUCACAUAGUGGCCCCCCCGAUUUAGAGCGUAUUUGUGUGUGUGUGUGUGUGUGCGCGCGAUGUUCUUCAGUGCUCUGCGGAGUGCGGCCCGGGCAACCGGACACGGGCGGCGCUGUGCCUGACGGAUCACCUGACCGAUCUCCCAUUGGACAGCUGCGAAGGGGAACGCCCACCAGAGGCCACAGCCUGCGAGUCAGGCCCCUGCUUCAAUCACCUGGAGUGGUACACUGGCCCCUGGGGGCAGUGUUCGGCAGAGUGCGGGAGCGGCACACGGACCCGGCGUUCGGUCUGCAUUUCCAGCAGUGACGGUCGUGUGGUGGUUGCAGACCCAGCGGAGUGCCCCAGUCUCUCUCAGCCAAUCACAGCCCAGCAGCCCUGCAGACUGAAGCCAUGUGGCGUCCAGUGGUACGUCAAAGACUGGAGUGCGUGCUCACGCUCCUGCGGCGGGGGGCUACCGCGUGCGCGAGGUGCGCUGUCUCGCGGACACCGUCAUGCCCAGUGACAGCGGUGACCCCGGUUUGACCCCGGAAAGGCCGAGAAGAAUGCAACAAGCAGCCUUGUGGUGUCGAGAUAAACCCAUCGUGCGGCGACCAGCACCACAACUGCAUGGUGGUGGUUCCGGCCCGGCUCUGCGUGAACGCCUACUACAGGAGCGCGUGCUGCUCCUCCUGCUCCCGGGCCCUCAGGUCCUGCCCCAGCUCACUUCUAAAGGACCACGUCCGCCGGUGACGGGCAGCGGUGCGUCCUUCAGUCAGAAGAGCGACAGCUCGAUCUCUCUCCGCCGGCGGCCGUGUGCAAGUGCGGCCUAAAACUCCACGGAAGCUCCUGUCAUCAGUGUAUGAAUGAGGGUAAAUGAUGACAUGUGCACGAGGUCAGAAGAGUAUCGUCCAUUUACCACUAUAAUAUAGUCCAAACAAUUUGUAUUCAAGCUGAUCUUAAAUCAUUAACGGUUCAUUUAUACCCCAAAGCAAUAUGUGUGCUGCCAGGGAAUAAAGAUGCACUUGAUGGAAGAAAUACAAUGGAAAGGGACAUAUUAUAUUAAAGGAUAGUUCCACAAUUUUUCUGUCAUGAUUUUUUAUUAUUUGUCUAGAGGGAAACAGGGGAGAGUAAUAUCUUUAGCCAGCAGGCACUUUCUUUUAGUCAAGUCAUUCCUGGGCCUGAGUCUGAUCAGCGUCACCAAAAGAACCUUUUGAUUGUUUUCUUGUUGAGAUGAACAGCUAUUCCAAAUACUGGGGAAUGUGGAGUGAUAAAUCAGUUAUCCCAGUAAACUAAAAAGACGCAGCCAUAGCAACAGUAACUAAGGACGCCACACACCUUCUCAAUAUGGGGUCAAUAUCAAAGUGGGCAAAAAGUCAACGUACAUCCAGUAGAGAUGAAAUAAAUAUGUUGCCUGUUGUCGUGAAAGCUUUGUUUAUAUCAGAAAACAGGAGUCCAUCAUUAAUUACCUCGAGGCAACUGGGUCUGUUCAUCAUUUUAAAAUGAAAGAUUUAUUUUUAUGGUUGUCUGUAUGCUAAACAUGUAGCGAGACGGCAGACAGCCAGCUAGCGGACUAAUAAUAAUAAUAAUAAGUAUCUCUGUUCAUAAAGCUGUCACAUCAAUGAGACCUUUAUCCAGACAUGCAUUUUGAAGCUGUUCAAAAGAACCAUUGCCGAUCAGCUGAAAACUACUAAAUAAUAUGCCGUGUGUCUGAUAUUUAUAUUUAGAUUGUUCACUUGAGUAACGGUGACAUUCCACGCAUUACAAAUAAUCCAAGAAGAUUCAGUUCUGUCCCCAGUAAACUUUACACUACUUGAAGAUGUCCAAUAGUAUUUCACGGUUGGUCUCUUUGGGUAAUAUGAUGGGCAACAAUGCUUUGUGCAUUUAGCGUUAACAUCAGACGUUUGGUCUAUAUAAUCUUUGUGAAAUAACAUCACCUCUGAGCAGUGACGAUUAGCUGGGAGAACUUUCAUUUGUUCACCAAGUCGAGCAAAGAAGACGCCACAUGGAACCUGUAGCUCGGCCGUGAUGGGAACACCGUUGCUUUAAUGGGGCAGCCGGGCCGACAGCGUGUAAAAGGCCAGAAUUCAAUCACGAGAACUUUAAAAAAAGGAACAUUAAAUGACCAACGGUUAACAAAAAUAACAAAAGGUCUUUAGUAAAGUGUUCUUAUUCAUAUCCGGAUGCAAGGCUGCACUGGUAGGUCCAUGCUAGUGAGGCUGCUGUGGAUGAGAGACGGGCAGGAUGCGACGGCUCCACGUUCACCAACCGUGUCCAUCCUGACUAAAGUGGCCCCCAGAGAUAAAACAUUCAAGGCUCGUUUCGCAUGCUCGUAAACCAUUCUAUCUAUACCCAUGCUCUUUUUACUAAAGCCGGGGUUUUGUGAACAGAAAUGACAAUCUUCUUCUGGGGAUUUCUUAAGUUUUAUACUCCCGAUGGCUCCGUUUUGCUCCUCCCUUAGCAUCACAAGUUAAUGUAAAUGUUACUGCGUUUAAUAACCUGUGUUCAAAACAUGAUGGACUAAACCCCGUCGCCUACGUUAGAGGAACAAUCACCAGUCGUACAAAUCGGUUCUCAAAAUACAACGGCAAGUGACAUUUUGCACCAAAACCUCAUUGUGAAAAACAAAAAACAAAAAAAUAUAUAUCACCCCUCCGUCUGAUUUGUUCAGCUUAUCAAAUGCUAUGACUUUGUUUUUCUCCAUCGCGUCGUACCAACAUUCACCGAUUUAGAUAUUGUAGAAGCUUUACAAAGACAUAAAUAUAGGAGGAUACAAUACAGUAAAAAAUACAAAAUAAAUCCAAUAUAUAUUUUUUUUCUUUUGUUUUCUUUUUUUACUUAAACCAUAACUUACCAGAGGCAAACCCAGAAACAGAUCUUUGACACCAGGCAACUAAACACUAGAAUUACCCCCUGAGGUCAAACCAUAAAACAACAGCCACGUGUCGGACCGGAGCUCGUCCCAGAUGUUACUCACGACUUCCCCGGGACGGGUGAGCAACGCACCACGCGCAGCACGAUAGGCAGUGUGGACGUCCCGCGCUAGUGUCACCACUAUACCAGCGGGACGCUAAGUCGAGGACAACUUCAAGGCACAGUCAUCUAAGGCAGGACAUGCCUCAUGAAUGAAAAGU
Gasterosteus aculeatus aculeatus (three-spined stickleback) is the source of this 3243-nucleotide non-coding RNA. NCBI's taxonomy places the organism in Eukaryota, Metazoa, Chordata, Actinopteri, Perciformes, Gasterosteidae. The record is from RefSeq and is a predicted model, not a curated record.